This 1995-nucleotide long non-coding RNA is filed under the name Marmota monax (woodchuck). Lineage: Eukaryota; Metazoa; Chordata; Mammalia; Rodentia; Sciuridae. The record is from RNAcentral.
CUGAAAAUGUGACCGGUUUUGCGAGGGCUGUGCAAACUCUUGCGGCUUGUAUUGACCGUUGAUAAAAGCUGCCUAAGACUACCGGACUGUAUACGUUGUAAUGGUUACGAUGUCAUGGACGACCGAAGUUGAGGGGCUUCGGGGUAAGUGGACAACUAGAUGAUGUGGGAAAAGGAGGCGAAGAGAAUACGGUCAGGAGCUGCAGCAGGCAGGUAAAUCAUCAAAAAUUCAGUUCCUGAAACUAAUGAAAAAAACAAUCUCACUAUAGUCCAGAGGGGAAAUGGUUCUCUGACGCAAGCCUGAUGGCGAUUCUAUUUGUCUGGGUAUUUUUCCGGACUAUCAAAAAAGUUACUUCGAGAUUCAGCCAAAUGUUUUGACUGGGAGACCGAAAACGCGACGAAGCGUUUCCUGCUGUAACGCCCGGUGAGCCGCGGGCCCCGGACUGAGCGCUCCGCGAGUCGCGCGCUGCCCGCAUGGGGCUGUUAUAAAGGACUUUCCCCCGCGGCCCUGGUAGAGGCGAGCCCGAGGAGCCCGAGGUCUGCCGACCGGGACAGCUGAGGUUCCACGUGGGGACUGACUUUAGCCUUUCUUGGGAGGAACACUCUUUCGGUCCUGUUUUGGAAGGGGAAAUGGGUGCAGCUCUCUGCGAAACUGUCAAGAGUCCCCAUCACUCCACAAACUUGGAAACUGGACGUUCUAAACUUUCUUCCCCGAGUUCAUUUCUACCUACUUUACCAGCUCUGAAGGACUACUGGCCGAGGGGCGCUACUUGAGAUGAUUUUUUUUUCUUCCACGUUGACUAGAGAAACUAUGCGGCGGGUUCCGAAAGCGACUUGCAGACCUCAGCGGCCCGGGCUCGGCGUGGCGUACUGCCCGCCCCUCCGCUCCCGCCCAGCCCCGCUCGGGGAGAAGCCCGAGGGGGAGUAUCUUUACCUCUGGCCAGAACUCGGUGCCAAGGCGCUCUCCUGACAUAACCCUGUCCAGGGGAGCCGACACGCUCAAUAACCAGUUCGACUCCUCUGCUGCCAGCCCCAGCCCCGUCCGUCCGGCGUGUUCCUUGGAACCAGCCCCUAUAACAGAGGAUCUCGCCUCACGUCUCCCCUGGCUCCCAGUUUUGCUGGCUUCUUUCCGACUCGUACACCCCUACCCUUCUUCUUCCGCCGACUAGGGUCGAACUCUGGCACCACUCCUCCCGCCCACCCCACCGCGCCAUUUUAACCCUUUGGAGGUUUUCCUGGGCCGUGGGGCGGGAAACUGAGAAGGUCCAUCUUCCUCAACUCUCCCCACCCUCUAGCUCCCCCCUGGGUCACUCCUGAAGCAGUCUGGAGGGGAUUGUGAAACCACCAGUAGUGGGCUGGGUUGGGGAGGGACAAGCUACCUCCGGGCUGCGGAACCUUUGGCAAAGUCUCGGGAACACUUGUGCUCCCCCAGGAUAGCUCCCUUCGCCUCACGGCGAGCGUGGGGUGUCCGAGUUUCUUGGCACUGACUGCAAAGAGCCUCUCCCUUUCCCUAGCGCCUUUAAGGACAUCUGAUCUGCAGCCUCAAACUUUCUCCUCGGGUCGAAAAGCUUCCUCAGGCCGCUGAGAGCGACCCCAGGCGAGGCCCGGAAGGGAGCGCGCUGAUGUGGGGUUAACCAAAGCCUGGCGCCCAGAGGUCGGCUGAGGCCCUGCGGGUCGAGGCCAGGCGCGCUGUUUGCAAGAGGGAGCCCCAGGGGACCCGCGCGGGACGCAUAGCCGCAGCUGAAACAGGCGUUCCCUUUUCCAGAUCAUGUUCCUCAUAAAAUCUAAAGCCAGAUGCAUCGCUUGGGCAUGUUCCCAUUUCACCGUGAAAGGGACAGAUUUGUUUCCAAACUGGACUCCAAAUCGAGGUUUAUAUUGCGGGAUCCAUUAGCGUGCGCAAAGCUGGGGCUUUCGAUGACUCUGGGGAUGGCUAGGGUGGAUAACGUUGGAGGGACUAAAGUCUGAACCAAGCUCAGGCAAAGCAUCAUUUGUGAAC